UACGUAGGGUGCAAGCGUUGUCCGGAAUUAUUGGGCGUAAAGAGCUCGUAGGCGGUCUGUCGCGUCUGCUGUGAAAACUCAGGGCUUAACCCUGAGCUUGCAGUGGGUACGGGCAGACUAGAGUGCGGUAGGGGAGACUGGAAUUCCUGGUGUAGCGGUGAAAUGCGCAGAUAUCAGGAGGAACACCGGUGGCGAAGACGGGUUGCUGGGCUGACACUGACGCUGAGGCGCGAAAGCCAGGGGAGCAAACGGG
This 253-nucleotide ribosomal RNA is filed under the name uncultured bacterium. Its description in RNAcentral is "partial 16S ribosomal RNA". It matches the Rfam family "Bacterial small subunit ribosomal RNA", at positions 524 to 776 of the family's 1533-position model. The record is from RNAcentral.